UUUUCUUCCUUUUUGUUUUGUAGUGAACAAUGAGGACGUGGUUUUGCUUGCAUUGGAUUCUUGCACCGGUUUUUGGCAGCCAGUUAGUAAAAUUUAGGGUGUAUAUAUCCUUUUGUUAUGGGUAAAUUCUACCAAAUGAAAAUGCUGACACGCCAACGCGAAUGUUUUACUGAUCAGUCGAAAUGAGAGUUAAACGAACUUCAGGGAAAAAAUUUGGAAACUACAUCAGGAAAAAAUAGCUCAAUCGAUACAUUCUUGAGUGAUGGGAUGUUCAAAGAAAAUGGAUGAGAAACGAGUCACCAGGGGCGGAUCUAGUGGUGUGUCA
This 325-nucleotide long non-coding RNA is filed under the name Setaria viridis. Its description in RNAcentral is "long non-coding RNA (SVIR_LNC000924)". The record is from RNAcentral. Lineage: Eukaryota; Viridiplantae; Streptophyta; Magnoliopsida; Poales; Poaceae.